Molecule: ribosomal RNA, 495 nt
Filed under: uncultured bacterium
Lineage: Bacteria
Description: partial 16S ribosomal RNA
Rfam family: Bacterial small subunit ribosomal RNA
Source: RNAcentral
GAUGAACGCUGGCGGCGUGCCUAAUACAUGCAAGUAGAACGCUGAAGGAGGAGCUUGCCCUUCUGGAUGAGUUGCGAACGGGUGAGUAACGCGUAGGUAACCUGCCUGGUAGCGGGGGAUAACUAUUGGAAACGAUAGCUAAUACCGCAUGACAACAGUUAUUGCAUGAUAACUGUUUAAAAGGGGCAACUGCUCCACUACCAGAUGGACCUGCGUUGUAUUAGCUAGUUGGUGAGGUAACGGCUCACCAAGGCGACGAUACAUAGCCGACCUGAGAGGGUGAUCGGCCACACUGGGACUGAGACACGGCCCAGACUCCUACGGGAGGCAGCAGUAGGGAAUCUUCGGCAAUGGACGGAAGUCUGACCGAGCAACGCCGCGUGAGUGAAGAAGGGUUUCGGAUCGUAAAGCUCUGUUGUAAGAGAAGAACGAGUGUGAGAGUGGAAAGUUCACACUGUGACGGUAUCUUACCAGAAAGGGACGGCUAACUACGUG